GUUCACAAAAACCACUCUACAACCAUUCUCGACCAACUUCUGUGACAGGAUCAUCAAAGGAUUCACAUGUCCUUGUGCUGGAUAAGGUGGUGCCCCUAUGUUCCCGGAAUUGAGAGCUUUCAAUCCAUCCGAUUAGUUUCGCGUCUCUCCACUGAUAAGGUACUGUCGAAAUUACCUCUGUGCAAAGGUACUGUUAGGGCAUUUUCUAGGAACUGUGCUGUAAGAACCAAAAAGUAAGGGGAGCUAGUUAUGUUUCUUUGAAUUGUUUAUAUGCUCUACAUAUAUGGUGAAUUUU
Molecule: long non-coding RNA, 295 nt
Organism: Vigna radiata var. radiata (mung bean)
Lineage: Eukaryota; Viridiplantae; Streptophyta; Magnoliopsida; Fabales; Fabaceae
Exons: 3
Source: RefSeq, a predicted model, not a curated record